This 76-nucleotide transfer RNA is filed under the name Escherichia coli 6-537-08_S3_C3. RNAcentral describes it as "tRNA-Glu". It matches the Rfam family "tRNA". From Rfam's summary of the family: Transfer RNA (tRNA) molecules are approximately 80 nucleotides in length. Their secondary structure includes four short double-helical elements and three loops (D, anti-codon, and T loops). The record is from RNAcentral. Lineage: Bacteria; Pseudomonadati; Pseudomonadota; Gammaproteobacteria; Enterobacterales; Enterobacteriaceae.
GCCCCCUUAGUCUAGAGGCCCAGGACACCGCCCUUUCACGGCAAUAACAGGGGUUCGAAUCCCCUAGGGGACGCCA